AGGCCCAACCAAACAGAGAUCAACAUCGUUGAUGUUGAUACAUAAUAUGUCUACCCAUGUGUUGUCAAGAAUGGUAUAAUGGAUAGUGAGAAAUAUCUAUGUGGUGGUUGGUAUGACUAUGUUCGUCUAAAUCGUCUUAAGGUGAAUGAUGUUCAGUUGUGUAUUGUUGCAUAUUUCCAUCAAUGCUUGUGUUCUUAUUUUACUAUGACAUCGUUCUAAAUUUCCAUCAA
This 230-nucleotide long non-coding RNA is filed under the name Lathyrus oleraceus (garden pea). RNAcentral describes it as "Pisum sativum (pea) long non-coding RNA (PSAT_LNC014536)". Lineage: Eukaryota; Viridiplantae; Streptophyta; Magnoliopsida; Fabales; Fabaceae. The record is from RNAcentral.